This 76-nucleotide transfer RNA is filed under the name Candidatus Woesearchaeota archaeon. RNAcentral describes it as "tRNA-Ile". It matches the Rfam family "tRNA". From Rfam's summary of the family: Transfer RNA (tRNA) molecules are approximately 80 nucleotides in length. Their secondary structure includes four short double-helical elements and three loops (D, anti-codon, and T loops). Further hydrogen bonds mediate the characteristic L-shaped molecular structure. tRNAs have two regions of fundamental functional importance: the anti-codon, which is responsible for specific mRNA codon recognition, and the 3' end, to which the tRNAs corresponding amino acid is attached (by aminoacyl-tRNA synthetases). tRNAs cope with the degeneracy of the genetic code in two manners: having more than one tRNA (with a specific anti-codon) for a particular amino acid; and 'wobble' base-pairing, i.e. permitting non-standard base-pairing at the 3rd anti-codon position. Lineage: Archaea; Nanobdellati; Candidatus Woesearchaeota. The record is from RNAcentral.
GAGCCUGUAGCUCAGUCUGGUUUAGAGCGCUGGUCUUAUAAGCCAGAGGUCUGGGGUUCAAAUCCCCGCAGGCUCA